ACGGAGAGGGAAAGCGUUGUUCGGAUCUAUAGGGCGUAAAGCGCGCGUAGGCGGUAUGGUAAGUCGGAUGUUAAAGACCCACGGCUCACCCGGGGGAAUGCGUCAGAUGCUGCCGUACUGGAGUACGGGAGAGGGAAGUGGAAUUCCUAGUGUAGCGGUGAAAUGCGUAGAUAUCAGGAGGAACACCUGUGGCGAGGGCGGCUUUCUGGCCCGUAACUGACACUGAGACGCGAAAUCGUGGGGAGCGGUCGG
This 252-nucleotide ribosomal RNA is filed under the name uncultured prokaryote. Its description in RNAcentral is "partial 16S rRNA". It matches the Rfam family "Bacterial small subunit ribosomal RNA", at positions 525 to 775 of the family's 1533-position model. The record is from RNAcentral.